Molecule: ribosomal RNA, 484 nt
Filed under: uncultured bacterium
Lineage: Bacteria
Description: partial 16S ribosomal RNA
Rfam family: Bacterial small subunit ribosomal RNA
Source: RNAcentral
AGUGAACGCUGGCGGCAGGCCUAACACAUGCAAGUCGAGCGGAAGCGCGGGGGCCACCCUGGCGGCGAGCGGCGGACGGGUGAGGAAUUCGUAGGAAGCUGCCCUUUUGUUGGGGCUAAGGUAGGGUCACUUACGCUGAUAUCGCAUCGGUCCUUCGGUUGAACGGGAGGGACCGCAAGGCCUCACCGAGUAUGAUGACACGACGACGCAUUAGCUAGUUGGUGCGGUAAAGGCCUACCAAGGCGACGUUCGGUAGCCGCUCUGAGAGGCUGAUCGGCCACACUGGAACUGAGACACGGUCCAGACUCCUACGGGAGGCAGCAGUAGGGAAUAUUCGACAAUGGGCGAAAGCCUGACGCAGCCACGCCGCGUGAGUGAAGAAGGUCUUCGGAUCGUAAAGCUCUGUUGUCAGGAAAGAAAACACGUGUGCUAAUACAUGCGGGGCAUGACGGUACCGGAAGAAAAAGCAACGGCUAACUUCGUG